CACCUACGGGGGGCAGCAGUGGGGAAUAUUGCACAAUGGGGGAAACCCUGAUGCAGCGACGCCGCGUGAGCGAUGAAGUAUUUCGGUAUGUAAAGCUCUAUCAGCAGGGAAGAAAAUGACGGUACCUGACUAAGAAGCCCCGGCUAACUACGUGCCAGCAGCCGCGGUAAUACGUAGGGGGCAAGCGUUAUCCGGAUUUACUGGGUGUAAAGGGAGCGUAGACGGCAGGGCAAGUCUGGAGUGAAAGCCCGGGGCCCAACCCCGGGACUGCUUUGGAAACUGCCAUG
This 287-nucleotide ribosomal RNA is filed under the name uncultured bacterium. RNAcentral describes it as "partial 16S ribosomal RNA". It matches the Rfam family "Bacterial small subunit ribosomal RNA", at positions 335 to 640 of the family's 1533-position model. The record is from RNAcentral.